This 3696-nucleotide long non-coding RNA is filed under the name Mytilus galloprovincialis (Mediterranean mussel). Lineage: Eukaryota; Metazoa; Mollusca; Bivalvia; Mytilida; Mytilidae. The record is from RNAcentral.
UCCUCUUCAAACUUCCUGAUAAUUUCUUUGCUCUGUAGAAAACAUUUAUUAUGUGAACUAUAAAAGAAGCAAGGUAAGAAAGAGAUUAUUUACAAUCUGUUUUCUCUGUGUCCGUGACAAAUCAUAUCAAAUGUUAAAAUCUUUAAAUAUUCAAAAAGUGACCUACACCACCAUAAAUAUCAUUUUAAAAAGUGUUUAACCAUGCACAAUUUGCCAGAAGGUUUUACAUGUAUAAUGUGGGCAGAAUAUGGAAAAAGAAAUCAAUGACGUAUAUCAUGUAGCUUAUAUCUAAGACGCUAGUACUUGUAGUAAUAUAAAUCAUUGGACAAGUUUCGUUUCUGUGCAUACUGCCAAGGGGCCAAGUGAGCUUUUCUCGUCACUUGGUGUCCGGCGUCCGUCGUUCGUCGUCGUCCUGCGUCCGUCGUAGUUAACUUUUACAAAAAUCUUCUCCUCUGAAACUACUUGGCCAAAUUUGCCCAAACUUGGCCAUAAUCAUCAUUGGGGUAUCUAGUUUAGAAAAUGUGUCCGGUGACCAAUCCAACCAACCAAGAUGGCCGCCAUGGCUAAAAAUAGAACAUAGGGGUAAAAUGUGGGUUUUGGCUUAUAUAUAUAUGAAACAGAAGCAUUUAGAGCAAAUCUGACAUGAUGUAGAAUUGUUCAUAAGGUCCAGAUCUAUCUACCCUGAAAAUUUCAGAUAAAUCGGACAACUUGUUGUUGGGUUGCUGACCCUGAAUUGGUAAUUGUAAGGAAAUUUUGUCGUUUUUUGAUAUUAUCUUGAAUAUUAUUAUAGAUAGAGAUAAACUGUAAACAGCAAUAAUGUUCAGCAAAGUAAGAUCUACAAAAAAGUCAACAUGACCAAAAUGGUCAGUUGACUCCUUAAGGAGUUAUUGCCCUUUAUAGUAAUUUUUUAACAAUUUUUGUAAAUUUUUGUUAUCUUUUACAAAAAUCUUCUCCUCUGAAACUAGUCAGACAAAUUUGCCCAAUCUUGUCCACAAUCAUCAUUAUGGUAUCUAGUUUAAAAAAUGUGUCCGAUAACCUGGCCAACCUACCAAGAUGUCUGCCAUGGCUAAAAAUAGAACGCAGGGGUGAAAUGUAUAUUUUGGCUUAUAUCUUUGAAACCAAAGCAAGUAGAGUAAAUCUGAUAUGGGGUAAAUUUGUUGAUCAGGUCAACAUCUAUCUGCCCUGAAAUUUUCAGACGACUCUGACAACCUGUUGUUGGGUUGCAGGGGUGUGGAAAUAUUUGUUGUGAGCACUUGUCCCUGGGCAAGUCAAACUGUAAAUUUUACUUGUCCGGAAAAAAAGUUACUUGCCCUGAUGGUCCCAAUAAAUAUUGAAGUAUUUCAUUGUUAGCUAAUAUAUGAUUCUUAGCACUUUUUUGCAUCACAAACAAAUGGAAUCCAUUUGUUUAUAUUGUACCGGUAAAACUUUAGGAACGUAGGAAAUGGGUUAACAUCAAUGGGACAGAAACCAAUCAAUGAGAUAACAUGCAGAGGACGAUUUACAGCAGUUUGUAUAAAAAUUGUAGCCAGUAGGUACAUAUACUAAUUUAAGAGGACAGUUAAUGAACAUGGUGAAGUUUUGGUGUUUCAACUGACACACGUUUUUUAUUCUUCUUUCAAAAUUGUCUUGAGGGGCAAUUCAAUCAUCUCUUCUAUUUACCACUUUGACAACAAAUGAUGCUGACCUGUCUUCUAUAAUAAGAUAACAAAUUAUUUAUUUUACGAAUUUCCAUCCAAGAUAGCAGGCAAUCUAAAAUACACGAUGUCUGAAAUUCUCUUCGAAUCUUUUUAAAAUAGUGUUCUUCUCCAUCUGCGUUUUAGGUUUUCUACUCGACUCAAACUCUUUUUCUUCUGACCGGGUCUUUAAUAUCAAUAUUUAUCAAUCUGACUGUCGAUACAAAAACUAAAGAAAUGAUACUUCCGAUGAAUAAUGGAUAAAACAUAAUCGACGAUCCCGGCUGAAUGGACAAAGGUCAAUGCAAUGUUACGCGAGUCGGGUUCGCAUACCUAUUUUUGUUUUAUCAAUUUCGUUAUCGAUCUAUUUCCGGUAUUAUGUUACUAAUAUUUAUCGUCUGGUCAUUGGUGUUUUUACUCGCUGACUAUUGGUUUCUUUACAUAAAUUAAACAUCUUCAUACGUUUUGGAAUUAAUUCUAUAUUUUUGUUUGAUUUGAACUUUGUUUGUAUAUUCUUUUUUGUCCACGGCAACGAGACAAAAAUACUUACUUGUCCGGUUUGUUCAAAUGUACGAGUCGGGAGUCGUGGCAUAGCAUUUCCACACCCCUGGGUUGCAGACCCUGAAUUGGUAUUUUAGUAAAAUUUUGCAGCUUUGAUUAUUUAUCUAAUUUUAGAUAGAGAUAAACUGUAAACAGCAAUAAUGUUCAGCAAAGUAAGAUCUACAAAUAAGUCAACAUGACCAAAAAUUGUCAGAGGACCCUUAAGAGUUUAUUGCCUUUUAUAGUCAAUAUUGAACAACUUUUCGUCAUUUUUGUAAUUGUACAAAAAUUUCUUUUCUAAAAACUAUGGGCCAAAUUUAACCAAACUUGGCCACAACAUUACUAGGUACUAUUUAAAAAAUGUGUCUUAUGAGUCCGCCUACCAACCAAGAUGGCUGCCAUCAGUAAAUAUAGUAACAGGUGGGCGACACAGGCUCUUGAGAGCCUCUAGUUUUUUAAUGUAAAUCCCUCCACUGUGAGCACAUACAUGCCAUAUAGCUGAAUGUGUUAAUAACGGAAACGGAGGAAAAAUACAUUAAUCCAUAAUUAAAAUGCAGCAUACAAGCUUUAUUAUUUCUACAUCAUUUAUGUGUAUUGUAUUAAUGUAUGUCUUGUAUCUUCCUCCUUUAAUAGGAGCACCACCAUGGGUUAUUGUGUAGAUUAAAUAUUGUCCGCCAUGAAAUUAUGUCCAUGGGACACUUUUUCACAAUAAAUUGUGUCCCAAGGAUAUAAUUUUGUUUUAAAAUAUUGUCUGGACGAUAGUUACCUAUAAAAUAACAGUCGAGGGUGCAACUUUAAUAAGUUAUCAGAGAAAAAUAACAUACACAAAGACAAACAAAAAUCUACAGGACAAAGAUUUACAAAAAGGUCAACAAGGCUAAAAUUCUGUCAACUCCUUAUUGCUCUAAAAAACAACAAUGUUUACCCUUUCUUAAGUUCAAUUUGUUUAUAAACAAUAUUUGAUAGAGAGAAACUGAAGUAAAGAAAUAAAGAUCAACAUGACAAGAUCUACAAAUAAGAUAAAAUGAUUGUUUGUACAGGUCAGAGUUAUCUUUCUUUGUACUUGUGUUUAUAGUAUUUUAUGAUUGUGUUUCGUAUGGUCUUUAUAUGAGACAAAGUUAUUUUGAUGAUGUCACCUUAAACCUUUGAUAAAGAAUCUACAUAUCUUUACAACCGAGUGCUUGUUAUACUCAUGCCUAUUUCCACCCGGUUUCAUAUCAACAUCAUUGGAGCCUCUACUCUAGUUACUAUCACCAUAUCAUUUUCAUGUUUCAGUGACAUCUUUGUUUUUUGCAGGAACACAUGAACCAUUAAGUAACAAUGAUAUAGGUUUCUAUUGUAAAGCCAAUCUGAAAUCAUGGCGUCUCUUUCUGAAGAAGAGGAGAAUUAUGUCCGGUUAGCCUUGUUAUUAAAAGGAGUGACACCUAGAGCAGUCCGUACUUAUUUUGACAGAGAAUUUCCACCUACCUCUCUACCCUCAACA